AAUGAGCCAAUGAGCCAAUGGAAGAUAUUCAUGGAGCCAACAAAAGAUGGCAUCGCUCUGGAAGAGAAUAUUCUGCCUGAAGGUGGCCCAUGAGCCCAUUGGAGACAAUGGAGGAUUCUACAAGAGGCUGCUAUGGAGCACUGGUGAUGCAGCGGUUCAAUGCCUGUACUGAAGCAACGUGGCUGCCUUGCAAAAUCUUCAAAUAAGAGCAAAGACCAAAUUUAAGACAAACACACCAAACAAUUCGAAUUGAUAAAACAAGGUUGCAGGGAUUUUGAAGCAACGUGGCUGCCUUGCAAGUAGGUUCAUACUGUAAGCUAAGUUAAAACGUUUAACAAUAGAAAAAUACUAAACACUACUAAAGCCUUCCCAUGUAACAGAAAUUUCAG
Sceloporus undulatus (fence lizard) is the source of this 389-nucleotide long non-coding RNA. RefSeq lists it as uncharacterized. The transcript is spliced from 4 exons. The record is from RefSeq and is a predicted model, not a curated record. NCBI's taxonomy places the organism in Eukaryota, Metazoa, Chordata, Lepidosauria, Squamata, Phrynosomatidae.